UACAGAGGGUGCGAGCGUUGUCCGGAAUCACUGGGCGUAAAGGGCGCGUAGGCGGCUUUUCACGCGUGCGGUGAAAGCUCGGGGCUUAACUCCGAGUCUGCCGUGCGAACGGGGAGGCUUGAGUCUGGUAGAGGUCGAUGGAAUUCCGGGUGUAGCGGUGGAAUGCGUAGAGAUCCGGAAGAACACCGGUGGCGAAGGCGGCCAGCUGGGCCGGUUCUGACGCUGAGGCGCGAAAGCGUGGGGAGCAAACAGG
Molecule: ribosomal RNA, 253 nt
Filed under: uncultured bacterium
Lineage: Bacteria
Description: partial 16S ribosomal RNA
Rfam family: Bacterial small subunit ribosomal RNA
Source: RNAcentral